This 459-nucleotide ribosomal RNA is filed under the name uncultured bacterium. RNAcentral's name for it is "partial 16S ribosomal RNA". It matches the Rfam family "Bacterial small subunit ribosomal RNA", at positions 338 to 795 of the family's 1533-position model. The record is from RNAcentral.
AAUACGGGUGGCAGCAGUGAGGAAUAUUGGUCAAUGGUCGGGAGACUGAACCAGCCAAGCCGCGUGAGGGAUGAAGGUACAGAGUAUCGUAAACCUCUUUUGUCAGGGAACAAAGGCGGGGACGUGUCCCCGGAUGAGUGUACCUGAAGAAAAAGCAUCGGCUAACUCCGUGCCAGCAGCCGCGGUAAUACGGAGGAUGCGAGCGUUAUCCGGAUUUAUUGGGUUAAAAGGGUGCGCAGGCGGUCUGUAAAGUCAGCGGUCAAAGCCCGGGGCUCAACCCCGGCCCGCCGUUGAAACUGGCAGUCUCGAGUUGGAGAGAAGUAUGCGGAAUGCGCGGUGGAGCGGUGAAAUGCAUAGAUAUCGCGCAGAACUCCGAUUGCGAAGGCAGCAUGCCGGCUCCACACUGACGCUGAGGCACGAAAGCGUGGGUAUCGAACAGGAUUAGAUACCCUAGUAGUC